Molecule: ribosomal RNA, 567 nt
Filed under: uncultured Actinomycetes bacterium
Lineage: Bacteria; Bacillati; Actinomycetota; Actinomycetes
Description: bacterial SSU rRNA
Rfam family: Bacterial small subunit ribosomal RNA
Source: RNAcentral
CCUACGGGAGGCAGCAGUGGGGAAUAUUGGGCAAUGGGCGAAAGCCUGACCCAGCGACGCCGCGUGCGGGAUGAAGGCCUUCGGGUUGUAAACCGCUUUCAGCAGGGAAGAAGCGAAAGUGACGGUACCUGAAGAAGAAGCACCGGCUAACUAUGUGCCAGCAGCCGCGGUAAUACAUAGGGUGCAAGCGUUGUCCGGAAUUAUUGGGCGUAAAGAGCUCGUAGGUGGUUCGUUACGUCGGAUGUGAAAACCUGAGGCUCAACCUCAGGCCUGCAUUCGAUACGGGCGAACUUGAGUGUGGUAGGGGAGGCUGGAAUUCCUGGUGUAGCGGUGGAAUGCGCAGAUAUCAGGAGGAACACCAAUGGCGAAGGCAGGCCUCUGGGCCACUACUGACACUGAGGAGCGAAAGCGUGGGGAGCAAACAGGAUUAGAUACCCUGGUAGUCCACGCUGUAAACGGUGGGCACUAGUUGUGGGAACCUUCCACGGUUUCCGCGACGCAGCAAACGCAUUAAGUGCCCCGCCUGGGGAGUACGAUCGCAAGAUUAAAACUCAAAGGAAUUGACGG